Molecule: long non-coding RNA, 547 nt
Organism: Rosa chinensis
Lineage: Eukaryota; Viridiplantae; Streptophyta; Magnoliopsida; Rosales; Rosaceae
Exons: 4
Source: RefSeq, a predicted model, not a curated record
GUCAUGCACUAUGUUGUGGAAAAUGAGGCAUUAAACCUCAAACUCAAAGCUAGUACAGCGUUGUCUCUGAGGGACUCCGGGUAAGGUUCUGCAUAUUACUAUCCAAGAAAUAGCCUUUUCUGAAGAUCGCAGAUUUCCAGUUCUGGUUCAUUUUGGCUCCAGCUGUAACCUAGUUAAAUUGUAAACUGGAGCAGAAGCGGAAUGGAUGCACCAAAUCAAUGGACUUGGACUUUAAACUUCAGUAUGAAUGCAGGAUGUACACAGGUGCUUUCAGAACCAUUCUGCAGGAUGCAACAAGGUUAUGGGUAACUCCAUCCUCGGAUGCCUAUCCUCAAGAUACUUGGACUCUUGAAGUCUGGAUAAAAUGUAUUAGAAAAUUAUCUACAGAGUACUACUAUCAGUUUGGUAACUUUGUAACUCUGGGAACCCGUUGGCCAUCAACCAAAUGCUGAAUGAGUUUCAAACUGGGCAGGUUUUGGGGCUAUCCUACCAUAGAUAACUGCAGCAUACAAUUCUAGCAUCAUGGGGUUCUCAUUUUCAUCAUAGU